CAGAUCUGGAUCUACCUCAUAAAUCACUACGGGCCUCCAAGUUUUGAAGAUCUGGUGGGCAAGCUGCAGGAGCAUUGGGAUGACCUGGAAGGCAGCGCUGUGGGAUUCUCUGAAGCAUGCAAGAUUGAUGCUCUUUGUGAAUGUUUUGAUGACAGCGUUUUCACAGAAAUCGUCACGGCAGUGAGGGUAGCAGCCACAAUGUUCGAACAUGCUGAAACUCUUCUCCGCUCAGAGCUCACAUAGUGUAAGUUCUUGGCUUGGCAGAGAACGGAUCAGGUUCUCAUGUCAAUGCUUUGUCAGCGAGAGUUGAAGCAAGGGUUGAAGAAGCUUCUGCAGAUGGCCAUGGUCGGGUGCGGCGAGGACGUGGACACAGAAUUCAAGAAGGACGCCCAAGAAGUAGUCAAGGAAGCUUACAAAGUGAUGGAACUGACAAUCUUGGAGCUCGUCGUGCUUCAACAUGCUAUGGCUGUGGAUUGGAAGGGCAUUUCAAGAAAGAUUGUUAAGUUCUGCAGUGGCUCAGCCGACUUGAGAUUGCAGCAAAUUUUGCAGGUUCAGCUCAAAUAGAACAGCAGGAGACAGUCACAGACGAUGUAACCAGAGCUGAAUCCUCUUGCACACUAACACUUAAUUCAGGAUGUGAAAAACACCUGAUGAAGGAUGAGCAAGCGUUCUCCAAGCUCAAGCGCUCACUAGCAGGUCGAGUUCGAGUUUGAAAUGGUGGAGUUGUUGAAGUCUCUGGAAAUGGUGAUGCAGUGGUGCAAGGUGGUUCGAAGAGUUUGCCUUUGAAUAAUGGGUGGUUUGUCCCACAACUUGUCAAGAACUUAGUUUCAAUAGUUAAGUUUACUUAUGCUGGGAUGAA
Selaginella moellendorffii is the source of this 859-nucleotide long non-coding RNA. RefSeq lists it as uncharacterized. The transcript has 2 exons. NCBI's taxonomy places the organism in Eukaryota, Viridiplantae, Streptophyta, Lycopodiopsida, Selaginellales, Selaginellaceae. The record is from RefSeq and is a predicted model, not a curated record.